CUUUGUGUGUCUCACUCACGUCUUUCUGCUUUCACAAGACUCUCCAGCUCACAUAGAUUUGUGGUCUUUGGUUAAUUAGACUUGUCAGGAAAGUGUGUGUGCUGAUCAGCUUGCCUGAGUGCUAUGGUGGAGCAGGGAUUAGCUUAGAUUCCUCAUUGUAAGAUCUUGACUGUAACUAAGGCCAGCUCCUCUGCUGAUUCUUCUGCCAUCAAUCGUCACCAAAAUCCAGAAGUCAAGACUUCACAUUUCAGCCGAUAGCGUGAAAUAGACUGAAGACCUGGCACCCAGCAGCAGAUCACAGUGACCCAGGUUUGAUUGAUCACUGUGGUGGCAGCAGCUUCAUAAACAGGGCCCAUCCAUCAGUCUCUCCUGGGAACCACUGGAAGGCAAGAGGGGAAAGAGAGGAAGCCAGGCAGAAAUGUCACCAGCCACAGUGAGAGGUGGAGGGGCUUGAGGAGAGAGACCAGAGGCCUUGGCCCAAACACUGCUGACCAGAGCAAAGGACGACUCAACUCCAGUGUUCAUUUUAAUCCGGGACUACAUGACUAAAAGAUUCUACGAGGCUCGCCAUCACCAAGGCCUCGACCCAAAUGGGACACAGCAGGAGUGAGUCCACGUGUCUCACAUGUUGUCACAAUGUGUGUGUUUGUGUGUGCAAACGUGCAAACAUGCUGCCUGGUGUGUCGUUGUUCACGACUCUGCUUAGCUCCAUUCCAGCAUCUUCACCUUUUUUCAUUUUAGUGUUUAAACUAAAGUUUUGGUGAAACCUUUCCUAUAUGAAGGAUUACUGGGCCACUUGUUGUUUUAAUAAAAAACAUCCUUCAAUGUUGAGUUCAUGGAUUUUAAAGGACUGUUUUCUAAACCAGAGAUGCAUGUUCACGUAGCAAAGAAAAAAAAAAGUCCUGAGUGUUCCAUCACUCUGGCGGUUCUCGUGGUUUUUAAGACACGUUUUCAUCAGUAUGAACACAUUUCUAUUUUGUUUGAAGGUUUUUUUCAUGCUUUCAUAGCAGUAGAGAGAUGACAGGAAACAAGGGGAAAGGGGGAAGAGAUGGAAAAUGACUCCAAAACAGCCCCAGUCUGAUUUGAACCCAGGAAGGUGCAGUUAAUGGUUGGCACCUCAACCACAAAACCUCUAAACCACAGAGGUUUUCUGAUUAUCGUUUGGUUGUUUCACAGAUUUUGCUGUUGCAGAAUUAAACAGCGAAUUAAAGUUAACUUUAUUUGGCGAAUAACAUCUUUGCAUUUGGCUAAUUCGGGGGUAGUUGUGUUAUUCCACAGGUAAAGCCCUCUCAGGCCCCGACUUUCCUUUGGGGCAGCUGCUUAGUUUUAUCCCACUUGAUUGCUCUCUUGGCCACGACACAACACAGCUACUCUCUCUCCCUCUUACACACAGACACACACACUCCUGAGAACUUCCACACUAAGGCCCCACCGCAAAGUUAUUAAUGAGCUGUUUAAUUUUAAUUAGAUAGUAAUUCAUGUUAAUGCCUGCUUAAUGGAGCCAAAUAAUUCCCCUCGGUCACUCUGGGUCUUUAUGCUUCGUUUACCAGCCCCUGCAGUUAUUCUCCGGCUUUUGUUUUUAUAUUACAUUUCCAAGUCUUUUUUUUUUUUUUUUCCAAGCAAUGAGUGAAUGAUGAAACAGUAAACGCAGGAAAUCUAUGGAGUGAGUGAUGCAUGUGAGUGUAUGAAAAAAAAAAAGUGUCUGUGUGUAUCAGAGAGAAUGAAAACUAGCAUUCGCACUUCUGUCUAUUUAUAUUUCAUUUUCAUUUAAUUGAUUAUUUCACUGUGUUUUUUUUCCCACAAAUGUAUGUCUGCAUGUGGGAAAAGUUGAAAUACUUUGCCACAGACACCGACUGACUUAAUGCACAGGCCACUACAGUAAAUGCCUUAAGUCAGACCAAAGAAAGGUCAAACUCAGUAUUGAACACUAAGCAGGGUUAAACCCUCAGGUUGAAGUGCAGGUACCAAGACAUUUGCAAGAGAGAGGUCAUGACCUCUGUGUCCAGGCCAGGCCUCGAGGUAAAUUGCCGUUGCCUCUUGUCACGUGUGCAUCCACUGUGCUGCUGCUUACCUCGGGGAAGCAUUUGUUUGAGACCCCCCCCUCUUGAGGUUCAAACAUCGGUAAGGCUGUGUAGGAGUGACCACGCCAGCUCAGACCACCGUAUGUGUGUGUGAGAAGGAGCGGAGGGGUCAAUGCUGUUGAGUCUGUCUCGGUUCUGUCUGGGUGCCUCGGCUCUAACGGAGCACUAAGCUGAGUGGUUGAAUUGAGUUAGUGGCUACAGACAGGCUUUUAAUUGUUGAUUGACCAGUCUGAGUGCUUCCUGGGCUGGGGUCAUUGCAGAGAGCAGGCGAGGAGGUCCCCAGGCCCCAGCAGCAAUUUCAGCCACGCACACCUAAGCGCCGCGGAGGGGCGGAACGAGAGAGACGGAGAGCAGGAUGGUGCAAAGGUACUUAGGACACGAUUGAGAAGUGCUGAGAGACUUCAGAAAGUUUGAAAAAAAAAAUGUUGUGCCUUAUUCUUUUUUUUUUUUUUCUCCACGUGAAGUUUGAUCUCGGGAUUUACAGUGGCCGUGCGAUUCAAUCAAACAGAAACACAUAUUGGCGACAGCGUUGCAGUCGCUGUGAGCAGAGCAGGCUUUGAGGUCCAUAGAUUAGCAAGUUCAAUGUUUACUCCUCUACAAAAUCUCCUUCAUCUGUUUGACAAUUACAAAUUUACUUUGUGCCCGUUCCAUUCACUUCUUUGCCCCUGCGCUCCCUCCCUCUUUAUCCUCUCUUCUCUCUCCCCCUCUCAGCCCUCUUUCCUCUAAUUCUGCACGGGGCCACAAAAGCCCAUUCUGCGGGUUAGUUCUUCUCUCCUCUCCUCCUCCUCCUCCUUCUCCUCCACCUCCUCCUCCUCCUCCUCCCAGCUCACAGCAGGUGCCGGUCCUCGGCUAACAUUUGUUAUCUCUAAUCCUGCAGGUUCGGCGCACAAAAAGAGCGUAGUAAACUCUCUCUCAGACCUAAUCCCACCACUCCUUUUUUGAUGGCGCUCCCCUCGCCCUCCUCUCCUCUUUUCUCCCUUCACUAUCUCUCUUUUAGGCUGCUGGGGGGACACUCCACUUCUCUGAUUGCCACAUAGCUUUUUAUCACCAUGGCCUUCAAUUUGGGGGGCAGCUGUUGGUGGUGGGGGUGUCCUUUUUCCCCUCCGUUUCUUUAUACCUUCAAUUCCAACUCUUUCCUUUCUCUCUCCCUCUGUCUCCUAUUUUUUUGCCCCCUUCUCCCUCUCUCUCUGUAUCAUUUACAGUCAUUUUCUGGCAAUUAAAAUGGAGCGCUGCUGCAGGAUUUUCGCCUGCAGUGCAACACUACAGUGCUGAUGAAUAAUUCUUCACCCUGCAAACUGGAAAGCUAGCCUUUCUUUCAUGUCGGCCCUUUGUUGAUUUACCAUUAAAACUUACUGCACCGUGCUAUGAGUGGAGGGCCUGGCUCUGCGGGAACUAACAAAAAGCAAAAAUGAGGAUGAAGCAGAUAUGUACAUAUGCUUUGGGGUCUUUUUUUUCUUCUCUCCAGCCUAGGAUGAGGAAGUGGAGUUACGUAUGUGAGUCAUAUAUAUUUGUGUUUAUGGUUUAGAUUUACGGUGCAAGAGCCUUUUCAUUUAUGUCCACUGUCUCGUUCUGUAGCACUUAGGUUUUAUGUUAAUUUUUCUUAUCAACGGUUUUCAUUAUGGGGCUUAGCUGUAUUGUAUGAGUGAUGUGACGGUCAUUCAUCUCUGUUCCUCUUUCUCGCACACACUGACACACGCUCACGCAAACAGCAUGCUGUGACUGAUGUGUGGAUGGAGUGUGUGGGGUGGUAAAGCUGCAGAGGUGGGGUGGUGUUGGCACUAUGUUAAAUGAUGUGGGUCUUCAGGCCAGCCCAGUUUUCCACUGUUUUCUGUUAGCAACCUGGUGCGGACUAUUCUCUGCUCUGAGUAUAUUAGUUUAGAAGAACAAGUUUAUUGUCCCAGUAGGGGAAAAUAAAAGCUUAUAUUUGCCUUAUUAAGUGUCACAAUAAUAAAUAAAAAGACAAUAAAAUAAAUGGAGUAGAUCUAAGGAAAUAAAACAUGCAAGAUAAAGAGGACAGUGAUCAAUCAUCACAAAUUCUUGAAUUCAAUGGGCCUAUAUCCUGGACUUUAUUGACCCUGCUUUAAAUAGUUUGACAAAUAAGUCAAUAUGGAGUAUUUGAAUCUCUUUCUGUAGAGAAUCUGGGUUAUUUAUUCAAUCGACAUAAACAACACAACGUGACCACUUGCAAUUUAGCAAAUGGGAUUUUUAUUUUUCUUUCUGAACAGCUUAAAACAAACUAUAUUUGUAUUGUUGGGUUCUUAAAUGUCCGCAAAGAGAGUUUGA
This is a long non-coding RNA of Larimichthys crocea (large yellow croaker), 4364 nucleotides long. RefSeq lists it as uncharacterized. The record is from RefSeq and is a predicted model, not a curated record. NCBI's taxonomy places the organism in Eukaryota, Metazoa, Chordata, Actinopteri, Sciaenidae. The transcript has 4 exons.